RNAcentral lists this transfer RNA (83 nucleotides) under Sorex araneus (European shrew). RNAcentral describes it as "tRNA-Leu (CAG) (tRNA-Leu-CAG-6-1)". It matches the Rfam family "tRNA". From Rfam's summary of the family: Transfer RNA (tRNA) molecules are approximately 80 nucleotides in length. The record is from RNAcentral. Lineage: Eukaryota; Metazoa; Chordata; Mammalia; Eulipotyphla; Soricidae.
AUCAGGAUGUCCGAGCGGUCUAAGGCGCUGCGUCCAGGUCGCAGUCUCCUCUGGGGACGUGGGUUCGAAUCCCACUCCUGACA